GGGUUUUUAGCUGAGAUGGCAUUAGCACCGGACUCUUAAUCCGGGGACACAGGUUCGAGCCCUGUAAGACCCAC
RNAcentral lists this transfer RNA (74 nucleotides) under Mycobacteroides abscessus. RNAcentral's name for it is "tRNA-Lys(ctt)". It matches the Rfam family "tRNA". Rfam says of the family: Transfer RNA (tRNA) molecules are approximately 80 nucleotides in length. Their secondary structure includes four short double-helical elements and three loops (D, anti-codon, and T loops). Further hydrogen bonds mediate the characteristic L-shaped molecular structure. tRNAs have two regions of fundamental functional importance: the anti-codon, which is responsible for specific mRNA codon recognition, and the 3' end, to which the tRNAs corresponding amino acid is attached (by aminoacyl-tRNA synthetases). tRNAs cope with the degeneracy of the genetic code in two manners: having more than one tRNA (with a specific anti-codon) for a particular amino acid; and 'wobble' base-pairing, i.e. permitting non-standard base-pairing at the 3rd anti-codon position. The record is from RNAcentral. Lineage: Bacteria; Bacillati; Actinomycetota; Actinomycetes; Mycobacteriales; Mycobacteriaceae.